CUCCAAGGCUUACUUUUUGAAAUGACUGAGAAUUCAUUUUCGAUAUGAGUGAGAGCUCCUAUCAGCCACAUGUUAGGAUGCGUAUUACCAGCUCUUUUCUUUACCUUUGCACAGUACACAGAAGGAAAAACAAAGACCAGAUUUUGAACCAAGUAACUUUAUUUAACUUAAAACAGCACUGUAUAUAACUUUAAAUAUUGUAAAAAAUGAAAUAUCAGUUAAAUACUAAUUCAGUAAAAAUUGUCUUGGUAUGGAAAUAUCUCUUUCUGUUGUAUAUGCAUUGUUCAAUUGCCAUGUCACUUUCUUGAGUAUUACCAGAAUAUUAAUAAGUAUAGUUGAGCCAGCUUCCUAAUAUUAUGGAAUCUAGGAUAGUUGUUGACUUUGCGG
This is a non-coding RNA of Paramuricea clavata, 387 nucleotides long. The record is from the annotation of a GenBank genome assembly. NCBI's taxonomy places the organism in Eukaryota, Metazoa, Cnidaria, Anthozoa, Malacalcyonacea, Plexauridae.